RNAcentral lists this long non-coding RNA (540 nucleotides) under Crocodylus porosus (Australian saltwater crocodile). Its description in RNAcentral is "lncRNA (ENSCPRG00005005393.1)". The record is from RNAcentral. Lineage: Eukaryota; Metazoa; Chordata; Crocodylia; Crocodylidae.
UCCGGCAAACAGCCGCCCCUCCCCCCGCGCACACACCCCGCACACUCACUUGUCUUGCACUCACGGUCUCUCGCACCUCGCACGCACACUCACUCUCGCACACACCCAGUCUCACGCUUGCGCCCCCCCCACACACUCACACACCUCGCAGCCAGUCUCACACUUAUCUCACACACCCGUCUUGCAUACUCUCACACACACAUGCACACGCACCUCACACCCAGUCUUACACUUAUUCUCAUACACACACACACACACACACACACACACACAGUCUCACCCCCCCAUUGUCUUAAUACUCUUACACAUCCCCCACACCCCCCCCACACUCACCCUCACACUGUCACACACACACACUCACCGUCUCACAUACUCACACGUCCCCCACACUCUCCCCCCCCCAAAGUUCCCCCUGUGCCAACAUGCGCAUUCAAAGUGAAGGGGGGGGGGCUUGUCCCUGCCCGCGUAGGGGCGUGCGCCCACCUGCUGCGAUCUAGGUGGCUCCCUCCCACCAGCGAUGCACCCCUGAAGUGCAUGUAG